Molecule: long non-coding RNA, 749 nt
Organism: Toxorhynchites rutilus septentrionalis
Lineage: Eukaryota; Metazoa; Arthropoda; Insecta; Diptera; Culicidae
Exons: 2
Source: RefSeq, a predicted model, not a curated record
AUGAGAGUUUUCUUGUUGAACUCCCUCGCAGCAGAAAAUUAUUCGCAAAGUGAUCAUCCAACCUAACAGUCUUGUUUCGAGUGUUUCAAGUCAGAAUGGACGGUGCGUUAUUACCGAGACUAGCUUUGCCUAAUAUUACAAAGUUCCGAGAUGUUGGACAAAAAAUUAUCCAAAAGGCUCGCGAAUCACCUAUGAUUCCGCUUGGACUCGCCGGUAUUGCGGUUGCUUGUGCUAUCGGUGCUCGAAGAUAUAAGUUAAGUGGAACGAUGGCUCCUUCGGUUAGCCUGAUGCAGGUUUACAUGAUGCAAGGAACGAUGGUGGCCGCUUUGACGCUGGGACUAAGCGGUAAAAUGGCAAAAGAGUAUCUGGACAACCAGAAGAAUAAGGCCCGUGCGAGAGUGGUGUGGUGAAUGUAUACAGGAUGAGAAUUAGUUAUCUACAGCGUUUGGCGAUCUAUAUCCAACUUCACGUUGGAUCUACUACAAUUGGUGACAUCUGUUCCAAAACAUGGCGAUGAAGAUAUAAUUCAUUAGUGCUAAUCCUAUCUUCUUGUGUUUGAGUAAAUCUUAAAGAUCAUCCAAUUUUUGUAUGGAUAUCUGCGCCUUACAGAUUCAGUGAUUUUUCGUUUUAAGAACCCAAUGUGAAAAGUGUAUUCGAGUCAUUAUUGUAAAUUGUUAUAUUUCUGUGCUAUUAUAAUUGUGAAUAAAAGAAAAAAAAACUGAACAAAAUAAAUCAAUAUAUUUAAUCUU